This 92-nucleotide ribosomal RNA is filed under the name Paenibacillus phyllosphaerae. RNAcentral's name for it is "Bacterial large subunit ribosomal RNA". It matches the Rfam family "Bacterial large subunit ribosomal RNA", at positions 2833 to 2925 of the family's 2925-position model. Lineage: Bacteria; Bacillati; Bacillota; Bacilli; Caryophanales; Paenibacillaceae. The record is from Rfam by way of RNAcentral.
ACCCCUGGAAGACGACCAGGUUGAUAGGUUCGAGGUGGAAGUGCAGCAAUGCAUGCAGCUGACGAAUACUAAUCGGUCGAGGGCUUAUCCUA